This 464-nucleotide ribosomal RNA is filed under the name Vreelandella stevensii. Its description in RNAcentral is "partial 16S ribosomal RNA". It matches the Rfam family "Bacterial small subunit ribosomal RNA", at positions 338 to 795 of the family's 1533-position model. Lineage: Bacteria; Pseudomonadati; Pseudomonadota; Gammaproteobacteria; Oceanospirillales; Halomonadaceae. The record is from RNAcentral.
CCUACGGGGGGCUGCAGUGGGGAAUAUUGGACAAUGGGGGAACCCUGAUCCAGCCAUGCCGCGUGUGUGAAGAAGGCCCUCGGGUUGUAAAGCACUUUCAGUGAGGAAGAACGCCUGGUGGUUAAUACCCAUCAGGAAAGACAUCACUCACAGAAGAAGCACCGGCUAACUCCGUGCCAGCAGCCGCGGUAAUACGGAGGGUGCGAGCGUUAAUCGGAAUUACUGGGCGUAAAGCGCGCGUAGGUGGCUUGAUAAGCCGGUUGUGAAAGCCCCGGGCUCAACCUGGGAACGGCAUCCGGAACUGUCAAGCUAGAGUGCAGGAGAGGAAGGUAGAAUUCCCGGUGUAGCGGUGAAAUGCGUAGAGAUCGGGAGGAAUACCAGUGGCGAAGGCGGCCUUCUGGACUGACACUGACACUGAGGUGCGAAAGCGUGGGUAGCAGACAGGAUUAGAUACCCCUGUAGUC